This 254-nucleotide ribosomal RNA is filed under the name uncultured bacterium. RNAcentral describes it as "partial 16S ribosomal RNA". It matches the Rfam family "Bacterial small subunit ribosomal RNA", at positions 524 to 777 of the family's 1533-position model. The record is from RNAcentral.
UACGAAGGGGGCUAGCGUUGCUCGGAAUCACUGGGCGUAAAGGGUGCGUAGGCGGGUUUUUAAGUCAGGGGUGAAAUCCUGGAGCUCAACUCCAGAACUGCCUUUGAUACUGAAGAUCUUGAGUCCGGGAGAGGUGAGUGGAACUGCGAGUGUAGAGGUGAAAUUCGUAGAUAUUCGCAAGAACACCAGUGGCGAAGGCGGCUCACUGGCCCGAUACUGACGCUGAGGUGCGAAAGCGUGGGGAGCAAACAGGG